Long non-coding RNA from Equus caballus (horse), 1935 nucleotides. The record is from Ensembl. NCBI's taxonomy places the organism in Eukaryota, Metazoa, Chordata, Mammalia, Perissodactyla, Equidae.
GCAUGGAAAAGGGUAGGCUGGAACGGACUGGACCCUGAGUCAAUGGGACUGUUGGACCUAGAAGCAACCCAUCCCCUGGCAGUGCGCUACAGCCUUGCUACUCAAAAGUGUGGUCCAAAACCCACCUGCAGGGACAUCACGUGGGAGAUGGUUGAAAAAGCAGAAUCCAGGAGCCCACCCUAGGUCUACUUAACUGCAGGUAAAUCGUAAGAACAUUAAAGUUUGAGGAGCACCACUUCCCCAGCUAAGCCCCAAACGCAGUCCCAGUCACCUUAUCCUUCCUAGGCUUCCACUUGCCACCGAUUUGAUCACCAACAUCAGUAAUUCUGCAGACACCCAAACUAUUGACAAAGGUCUCUGUCUGUAAAAUGCAGACUCCUUAAAGCGGUUCCAUUGACUGUAUCCUUCAGAUGUCUUUCAUUAGAUUUUGUUUGGAACAGUAUUGUAAAUGCUUAUCUUUUUUUCAGAGGUUCAUCCUGUUUUGGCAAAAUCUUAUUGAGUAAAUCCAAGGAUUGAAGAAAUCUCUUCCUCUACCCUGUUCUUUACAACUGUAGAUGAUUCCUAAUGAGCAUUUUAACUAAAUUCUUUCAACAUAGCGUCAUUCUUGAGGAGUAGCUAUAGUUUCAGGUUGCAGCUUGUUUUCAUCUCCAAACACUGGAGAAAGAAACCUUCGUCAGAGAUGAAGCACCAAGAAAUAAAAUGAGACAAUUUUUCCAGGAGAGAUUCACAUUUCAGGUUCCUAAAACAUAUGUCCUCGAGUGUCCACCACGUGGGUCAGUUGCUGGGCUGGGGGUACCACACCUUCAGGAUCAGCCACGCCUACCUACAUUUGCAAGCCUGCCAGCAGGUUCUCCGAAAAGGGAUCUGAAACUGGACCAAGCUUUGUGUGGCCUUCCCUCCCUAUCCUCCCUCCAGCCCUCUCUUCUUUUUCGUGCCCUUUACUCAUCUUUCCUUCCUCCUGGUAAGAUGUAUUGAGGGCUAAUAAUGGGCCACACACCAUGCUGGGUACCAGAGAUGCUGCUGUCAAGAACUCAACAACACAGAUAUGACACAGGCCCACCUCAUAGAGUUUUCUGGCAAGGAAGACUAUGAAAUCAGUCAUCAAUUAAGUCAUUUCAAUGAUGAGUGCUAUUUAGGAGAAUUGCAGGGUGAUAGGAGAGUGUGUAAGAGGAAACUUGACCCUGGUCUGGGGGCUGCCUUGAGAAUAUGAUGUCUGAGCCGAGGACCAAAGGAUGAGUAGUGGUGAGCCAGGUACACAGAAAGGAAGGUAUCCUUUUCCCCAGUUGGCCUCUUUACCUGUCCCGCCAGCCAACAGAGAACCCCUGCUCCCACUUGGCAACUCUGCUAUUGACUCCACACUGACCUUGCCUGACGCCUGUUGGUGCUGACAGCUCCACCGCCCAGGGUUGGACACUUGCCUCCAUUCUUGUCUUCGUCUGACCUUGGCCUCAGCUAUUUUCUGCCCCACUUCACCCACAUUGGUACUGACAGCUCACAGGAUCUCCACCCAGCUGGAUGCCCACUCAGCAAGAUAUGUGAUGGCAUUGUUUUCCUCUUAAUUUAUUAGACAGCACUUCUUUCCAAACAGAAUUAAUUUUUGCUCUGAAGAUGAUAACUCAGGCUCGAGGAAGAGUUUAUAUUCUUGGUGUGGUCAGUGGUUGUGCAGGAAACCAUUUCUAACACAGCUGCAUCUUCUCGGUGCCAAACACCCCUCUAGGUCUCAGUGUCGUGGGGAGCAGAAGACUGUGCUUGCAGGUCAGGUCAGGUCGCAUCUUGCUGAUGCCCUCAUUCAGGCUGAUGGAGAAUGGGCUGAGUGAUAUGGCCCAGAUGCUUCUCUCCAGGUUAGACGAACAGCUGCUGGAUUCCUCUCUCACCCUGAAUAAAUUCAGUUGUUUUGCUAACUGGACUACAGCUUCUUUUUUCAGAACGUCACAG